CAAGUUGAUGAAGAAGACCUCGUCGCCUACAUGAUCGCCGGACUCGAUUCUGAUUACGAGCCAGUGGUGUCAGCCCUUGCCGCACAGAAGGAACCAGUCACCGUAGCAGAGCUCUAUGGGCAGCUGCUAGGGUUUGAAG
Molecule: small nucleolar RNA, 139 nt
Organism: Phragmites australis (common reed)
Lineage: Eukaryota; Viridiplantae; Streptophyta; Magnoliopsida; Poales; Poaceae
Product: small nucleolar RNA Z247
Exons: 1
Source: RefSeq, a predicted model, not a curated record